UUGACCUCGGAUCAGGUAGGAAUACCCGCUGAACUUAAGCAUAUCAAUAAGCGGAGGAAAAGAAACCAACAGGGAUUGCCCUAGUAACGGCGAGUGAAGCGGCAACAGCUCAAAUUUGAAAUCUGGUCCUUUCAGGGCCCGAGUUGUAAUUUGCAGAGGAUGCUUCGGGUACGGGUACCUACCGAGUUCCCUGGAACGGGACGCCAUAGAGGGUGAGAGCCCCGUCUGGUAGGACACCCAGCCCAUGUGAAGCUCCCUCGACGAGUCGAGUAGUUUGGGAAUGCUGCUCUAACGGGAGGUAUACUCCUUCCAAGGCUAAAUACCGGCUGGAGACCGAUAGCGCACAAGUAGAGUGAUCGAAAGAUGAAAAGCACUUUGAAAAGAGAGUCAAAUAGCACGUGAAAUUGUUGAAAGGGAAGCGCUCGCUACCAGACUUGAGUUAGGCGGUUCAACCGGGGCCACGCCCCGGGGCACUCCACCUGCUCAGGCCAGCAUCAGCUUUCCGUCGGGGGCAAAGGCGUCGGGAAUGUGGCUCACCUCCGGGAGAGUGUUAUAGCCCGGCGUGUCAUACCCGAUGGGGGGCUGAGGU
Molecule: ribosomal RNA, 589 nt
Filed under: [Acremonium] antarcticum
Lineage: Eukaryota; Fungi; Ascomycota; Sordariomycetes; Hypocreales; Bionectriaceae
Description: eukaryotic LSU rRNA
Rfam family: Eukaryotic large subunit ribosomal RNA
Source: RNAcentral